This is a regulatory RNA element of 180 nucleotides. It matches the Rfam family "Lysine riboswitch aptamer". From Rfam's summary of the family: Riboswitches are metabolite binding domains within certain messenger RNAs that serve as precision sensors for their corresponding targets. Allosteric rearrangement of mRNA structure is mediated by ligand binding, and this results in modulation of gene expression. The record is from Rfam.
AAUCUAAGAAGAGGCGCAGCUGACAUUAGUAGCCAUCAUGAGUUGAUAAAGCGACUUUGAUUGAAGGUGAAAGGGGAUGCCUGCCGAAACGACCGUUUCCUUUAUGAGACGAGGUUGUUGGGUUCUAGCUUAACAGGCUAGAGACUGUCGUGGUUAAUUCCACGGAGUGCUUUGUGAUCA